GGGUGAUUAGCUCAGCUGGGAGAGCACCUCCCUUACAAGGAGGGGGUCGGG
This 51-nucleotide transfer RNA is filed under the name Salmonella enterica subsp. enterica serovar 4,[5],12:i:- str. CVM23701. Its description in RNAcentral is "tRNA-Val". It matches the Rfam family "tRNA", at positions 1 to 49 of the family's 71-position model. From Rfam's summary of the family: Transfer RNA (tRNA) molecules are approximately 80 nucleotides in length. The record is from RNAcentral. Lineage: Bacteria; Pseudomonadati; Pseudomonadota; Gammaproteobacteria; Enterobacterales; Enterobacteriaceae.